Molecule: ribosomal RNA, 525 nt
Filed under: uncultured eubacterium WR108
Lineage: Bacteria
Description: bacterial SSU rRNA
Rfam family: Bacterial small subunit ribosomal RNA
Source: RNAcentral
GAGUUUGAUCCUGGCUCAGAUUGAACGCUGGCGGCAUGCCUUACACAUGCAAGUCGAACGGCAGCACGGGGGCAACCCUGGUGGCGAGUGGCGAACGGGUGAGUAAUACAUCGGAACGUGUCCUGUAGUGGGGGAUAGCCCGGCGAAAGCCGGAUUAAUACCGCAUACGAUCUACGGAAGAAAGCGGGGGAUCCUUCGGGACCUCGCGCUAUAGGGGCGACCGAUGACAGAUUAGCUAGUUGGUGGGGUAAAGGCCUACCAAGGCGACGAUCUGUAGCUGGUCUGAGAGGACGACCAGCCACACUGGGACUGAGACACGGCCCAGACUCCUACGGGAGGCAGCAGUGGGGAAUUUUGGACAAUGGGGGAAACCCUGAUCCAGCAAUGCCGCGUGUGUGAAGAAGGCCUUCGGGUUGUAAAGCACUUUUGUCCGGAAAGAAAACUUCUGCCCUAAUACGGUGGGAGGAUGACGGUACCGGAAGAAUAAGCACCGGCUAACUACGUGCCAGCAGCCGCGGUAAUACG